AUGUCACCAAGUGAAGAAAAGACCUGCGCACACAGGACACAGCACAGCCUGAUGCUCACAGCAAUAUGUUUUCUGUUAUUACAGGAAGUUUCAGGAGUCAAGGAGAACGGUGUAUGUGGGGCAGUCCCUCCCGUGUGGACGAAGAAUCCAGGUGAUGAGGAAUGUGCCGCUGUGUCGCUGGCUUUCCUGCACACAGGCAGCCGGAGUGGAGCUUCCUGUUGUGAUGAGGACCCGGGCUGUGGCGGGAGAAGUGGUUGCUCCAGGGAGGGUGGCCCAGCAGCAGCUCGGUUUGUGCUCUCACCCACCUCCUCCACACAUGCCAGCCCUGUUCCUCAGCACCCAAGGCUGCCAGAGGUCCUUCAGCAGCUCCCAUGGCUGACAGUGACUCUGUUUCCUAGCGACGGUGGCCAGUGAGAUGUUUCCAGAAAUGACCCUAGCUCUUUGCCAGGUAAAGUCUUCUUUCUUUGUCUAAGAUGGGAAUUUUAUUUCUCUUGGCUUCUUUCCAUUUUAUUUGCAUUAUGAUACGCAAAUCUCACCAUGGAAAUUAUAGAUGAAUUGCAGAAUUUCUUGGUGAGCAAAUAUAAGAGUCCAUUACCAACUAAGCCCUGAUUCAAGAUGGCACCCGCAGGUGACAGCUUCAGGGACGGACUGCGUGGCAGAGAGCAUUUUCCUCAUGAGAAAUGCUGGCUUUUAAAAAGAAUGUAGAAUUUGCAACCAAAAGAUGUUGGUCUAGAUAGAAGCAGCUGGACCCCACAGUGUGGCAUGUGUUCGUUUGAACAUUCUACGGUGACCUGCCACGGAGGUCGUCUGAAGAUGGAGCCCUUGUCUACGGCCGUAGCACCCUGAGUGCACCCGCUGUCAUCUCAUGGUGAAGGUCCUGCCUCCGUCCCAGCUGCCACUCUGUGAACUGCCGUUUCACACUGUGCAGAGCCAAGAGACCAGUGAUCACGACGGGAGGCGACCUUUGCUGCUGUUCUCAAGGUGUGCUCAUUUCCCUCUUCUCACUGCAGUUUCUUCAGAUCAGCCACUUGUACUUAAAAUGUCUCCCUGAUUUUUUUUUAUUUCCCCAACUCUAGUUUGUCUAUAGAUGUUCAAAUUUUAGAGUUUUACGACUCAAUUUGUGUUCUUGAUUUUUCUAUCAAGAUUUUUGCCUUAAACAUUUUCCUCUAUUUAGGAAAAUGUCCUGUUUCCCAUGCCAAGUUUAUGCAGGCUUUUCGCUAGAAUAGAUCCAGAAGGAACACAGCAACACUGCCUUCACCAGAUCCGGAGAAUCUUGAUACCAAGUGCGGUAUGAGACAGCCCAUGAGAGGGAGAUUACAGGCCCGUCUUCUGAAUAGAGACAUCCAAAGCUGAAACCAAAUAUUAGAGCAGGCUGAAUGCAGAGACUGCUACAAACAAUGAUGAGUUAUUUCAUGAUUUGAAACAAUAUUGCCUCGUUUAAAAGUUUUGGGGAUUGUUUUAAAGAAAAAUUUAAAAGAUAAAUACAACUGAAUGAAUGUAAACAGUUAUAAAACAGAAAAAGUUAUGGGGUGGUAAAAGGCUUAUGAAACAAAUGUUUUAUAACCUCAUAAUUUCUAAUCCCAAUCAAAACUGGGAUAGAUUUGUUUAUGAGGUCUUAUUGCCAGUGCUAAGCUGUAUCAGCACUUUGGAGCGAGGGUGGAUCAAUAAGAUCGAAUAUUG
This 1680-nucleotide long non-coding RNA is filed under the name Macaca mulatta (Rhesus monkey). RNAcentral describes it as "lncRNA (ENSMMUG00000062958.1)". The record is from RNAcentral. Lineage: Eukaryota; Metazoa; Chordata; Mammalia; Primates; Cercopithecidae.